UCGGGAAUUUUGGGCAAUGGGCGAAAGCCUGACCCAGCAACGCCGCGUGAAGGAUGAAGUCUCUCGGGAUGUAAACUUCGUAAGAAUAGGAAGAAUAAAUGACGGUACUAUUUGUAAGGUCCGGCUAACUACGUGCCAGCAGCCGCGGUAAUACGUAGGGACCAAGCGUUGUUCGGAUUUACUGGGCGUAAAGGGCGCGUAGGCGGCGUGGUAAGUCACUUGUGAAAUCUCCGAGCUUAACUCGGAACGGUCAAGUGAUACUGCUGUGCUAGAGUACAGAAGGGGCAAUCGGAAUUCUUGGUGUAGCGGUGAAAUGCGUAGAUAUCGGAAGGAACAUCGGUGGCGAAGGCGUCUACCUGGCCUAAUACUGACACUGAGGCACGAAAGCGUGGGGAGCAAACAGGAUUAGAUACCCUAGUAGUCCCUGAGCGGGCUGGCAAGGCGCAU
Molecule: ribosomal RNA, 447 nt
Filed under: uncultured bacterium
Lineage: Bacteria
Description: bacterial SSU rRNA
Rfam family: Bacterial small subunit ribosomal RNA
Source: RNAcentral